GCCCUGCUGAAGAGUCCCACAAUAGGAUGAAAGGACUGUCCAGUGC
Non-coding RNA from Schistosoma rodhaini, 46 nucleotides. Lineage: Eukaryota; Metazoa; Platyhelminthes; Trematoda; Strigeidida; Schistosomatidae. The record is from Rfam.